This 405-nucleotide unclassified non-coding RNA is filed under the name soil metagenome. RNAcentral's name for it is "partial contains 5.8S ribosomal RNA, internal transcribed spacer 2, and large subunit ribosomal RNA". The stretch from base 1 to 121 matches the Rfam family "5.8S ribosomal RNA", at positions 35 to 154 of the family's 154-position model. The record is from RNAcentral.
GAUGAAGAACGUAGCGAAAUGCGAUAAGUAAUGUGAAUUGCAGAAUUCAGUGAAUCAUCGAAUCUUUGAACGCACCUUGCGCCCUUUGGCCAUUCCGAAGGGCAUGCCUGUUUGAGUAUCAUGAACACCUCAACUCUUCAUGGUUUUCCGUGAUGAGCUUGGACUUUGGGGGUCUUGCUGGCCUAUGGUCAGCUCCUCUAAAAUAAAUCAGCUUGCCAGUGUUUGGUGGGUAUCACAGGUGUGAUAACUAUCUACGCUUGUGGUUUUCACCAGGUAACCUUCAGCAGUGGAGGUUCGCUGGAGCUCACAGAUGUGUCUCUCCUCAGUGAGGACAGCUCUUUGAAUGUUUGAUCUCAAAUCAGGUAGGACUACCCGCUGAACUUAAGCAUAUCAAUAAGCGGAGGA